This is a long non-coding RNA of Carassius gibelio (silver crucian carp), 867 nucleotides long. RefSeq lists it as uncharacterized. Lineage: Eukaryota; Metazoa; Chordata; Actinopteri; Cypriniformes; Cyprinidae. The record is from RefSeq and is a predicted model, not a curated record. The transcript is spliced from 3 exons.
GAGAUGCAGCAUCUCAUUUAUGAGAUUUGAGAGGCUCUUAUUUUGUAAUUCCACAUCAGACCGUCCUGAAACGAUGCAGCUGACAUUGUGGUAAGGUGUACUCUCAAUCUGAGGUGAAAGUGGUCUGUGCAAUGUAUAACUUUACUUUUUAUAGAUUUUCUAAUAUAGAGAUGCAGCAUCUCAUUUAUGAGAUUUGAGAGGCUCUUAUUUUGUAAUUCCACAUCAGACCGUCCUGAUACGAUGCAGCUGACAUUGUGGUAAGGUGUACUCUCAAUCUGAGGUGAAAGUGGCCUGUGCAAUGUAUAACUUUACUUUUUAUAGAUUUUUUUAUAUAGAGAUGUAGCAUCUCAUUUAUGAUAUUUGGGGGGCUCUUAUUUUGUUAUUACACAUCAGACUGUCCUGAAACGAUGCAGCUGACAUUGUGGUAAGGUGUACUCUCAAUCUAUGUUGAAAGUGGCCUGUGCAAUGUAGAACUUAGAUUUUUAUAGAUUUUUGAAUAUAGAGAUGCAGCAUCCUAUUUAUGAGAUUUGGGAGGCUCUUAUGUUGUAAUCUCACAUCAGACCGUCCUGAAACGAUGCAUCUGACAUUGUGGUAAGGUGUACUCUCAAUCUGAGGUGAAAGUGGUCUGUGCAAUGUAUAACUUUACUUUUUAUAGAUUUUUUUUAUAUAGAGAUGUAGCAUCUCAUUUAUGAUAUUUGGGGGGCUCUUAUUUUGUAAUCUCACAUCAGACCGUCCUGAAACGAUGCAGCUGACAUUGUGGUAAGGUGUACUCUCAAUCUGAGGUGAAAGUGGUCUGUGCAAUGUAUAACUUUACUUUUUAUAGAUUUUUUUAUAUAGAGAUGUAGCAUCUCAUUUAUGAUAUUUGGG